Priapulus caudatus is the source of this 273-nucleotide long non-coding RNA. RefSeq lists it as uncharacterized. The record is from RefSeq and is a predicted model, not a curated record. Lineage: Eukaryota; Metazoa; Priapulida; Priapulimorpha; Priapulimorphida; Priapulidae. The transcript has 3 exons.
GUACGAGUGGGAAUAUAACGGUCAGAAAGUGUUCGAAUGCCGUGCAAGCCGGUUGUCGAGGCACAAACUGUACUGGACCAAGACUGGAGUUGCCUCGAUGGGAAACUUCUGAACUCUCAUGCUCCAGCUGAGAAGCUGACUGCUGAACUAGAAAGCAGGGGAGUGGAGGUAUAGAGUUGCAUCACCUGGGAUACCAAGCCAUCUCCAUCACCGAACCACCAGUGAUGAGGAGAUGUGGAGAGGUGGCGAGAGAUACACACACGCACACAGAGA